Molecule: unclassified non-coding RNA, 253 nt
Filed under: uncultured Polyangiaceae bacterium
Lineage: Bacteria; Pseudomonadati; Myxococcota; Polyangiales; Polyangiaceae
Description: contains 16S-23S intergenic spacer region
Rfam family: Bacterial small subunit ribosomal RNA
Source: RNAcentral
GACAGAGGGUGCAAACGUUGUUCGGAAUUACUGGGCGUAAAGCGUGUGUAGGCGGCCAUAUAAGUCGGAUGUGAAAGCCCUGGGCUCAACCCAGGAAGUGCACUCGAUACUGUGUGGCUCGAGUACUGGAGAGGUUGGUGGAAUUCUGGGUGUAGAGGUGAAAUUCGUAGAUAUCCAGAGGAACACCGGUGGCGAAGGCGGCCAACUGGACAGAUACUGACGCUGAGACACGAAAGCGUGGGGAGCAAACAGG